This 85-nucleotide small nuclear RNA is filed under the name Microcebus murinus (gray mouse lemur). Its description in RNAcentral is "U4atac minor spliceosomal RNA (ENSMICG00000025517.3)". Lineage: Eukaryota; Metazoa; Chordata; Mammalia; Primates; Cheirogaleidae. The record is from RNAcentral.
ACUAUCCUUUUCUUGGGGUAGCGCUACUGUCCAAUGAACAAAUAAAGAGGGCAGUACUGUCAACGCCUGUUUCAUUUGUGAACCU